RNAcentral lists this ribosomal RNA (301 nucleotides) under uncultured bacterium. Its description in RNAcentral is "partial 16S ribosomal RNA". It matches the Rfam family "Bacterial small subunit ribosomal RNA", at positions 509 to 807 of the family's 1533-position model. The record is from RNAcentral.
CAGCAGCCGCGGGAAUACGAAGGGGACUAGCGUUGUUCGGAUUUACUGGGCGUAAAGGGCGCGUAGGCGGACUGAUAAGUCAGGGGUGAAAUCCCAAGGCUCAACCUUGGAACUGCCUUUGAUACUGUUUGUCUUGAGUUCGAGAGAGGUAAGUGGAACUGCGAGUGUAGAGGUGAAAUUCGUAGAUAUUCGCAAGAACACCAGUGGCGAAGGCGGCUUACUGGCUCGAAACUGACGCUGAGGCGCGAAAGCGUGGGGAGCAAACAGGAUUAGAUACCCGAGUAGUCCCUGUCUCUUAUAC